Molecule: transfer RNA, 92 nt
Filed under: Arenicellales bacterium
Lineage: Bacteria; Pseudomonadati; Pseudomonadota; Gammaproteobacteria; Arenicellales
Description: tRNA-Ser
Rfam family: tRNA
About the family: Transfer RNA (tRNA) molecules are approximately 80 nucleotides in length. Their secondary structure includes four short double-helical elements and three loops (D, anti-codon, and T loops).
Source: RNAcentral
GGAGAGUUGGGUGAGAGGCUGAAACCAGAAGUUUGCUAAAUUUCCGUAGGAUUAAUUUUCUACCGUGGGUUCGAAUCCCACACUCUCCGCCA